AUUUUUAUGGAGAGUUUGAUCCUGGCUCAGGAUGAACGCUGGCGGCGUGCCUAAUACAUGCAAGUCGAGCGAACGGACGAGAAGCUUGCUUCUCUGAU
RNAcentral lists this ribosomal RNA (98 nucleotides) under Staphylococcus aureus. RNAcentral describes it as "partial 16S ribosomal RNA". It matches the Rfam family "Bacterial small subunit ribosomal RNA", at positions 1 to 92 of the family's 1533-position model. Lineage: Bacteria; Bacillati; Bacillota; Bacilli; Caryophanales; Staphylococcaceae. The record is from RNAcentral.